This is a non-coding RNA of Pelobates cultripes (western spadefoot toad), 230 nucleotides long. Lineage: Eukaryota; Metazoa; Chordata; Amphibia; Anura; Pelobatidae. The record is from the annotation of a GenBank genome assembly.
CAGGAAUUCUGGUUUCCUCGUGUGGGGGCUAGCGGCGUCUAUCUGAUCCGCGGUUGAGUUUUGUGGGUUCCUGGGAGGGCGGGCGGAAUACACAUGGUCUUUUACAUGUUGGUACCCGUAGGGUGAGUUGUCUGCUGUCUCGUCCUUCUGGGUCUGGGUGGUUGUUGCGUCUGGCGUUGCAUCUCAGGUGAAUAGGCGUAGAAAGCCAUUGGAUCUGGCCAUGUCAGUUG